UCACUUCGGUUCCUCUCUCAGACUCUUCCAGUUUAGGCUCUUUUCCUCUAUCACGCAGGCACAUUGCACCAGAUCAGACACCAAUCAAGGCCACCAAACCUUGCCAUAUGGAUGUCGUCGUCACCAGCGUUAUCAACUACAUCAUCUGGUGAUGGGUUCAUCAACACCGUCCACUAUCGGUUAUGGAUUCAGACCAUUCUCGGCCGACGCUUUAGUCGAGUAUAGGCCCGAUAAGAUCAGAAGAGUCUACGGCUUCCCCAAUGAACAUCUUCGCACAAAGGAACAGGAGAUCGCCAAGGAGUGGAAGGUCGUCAGUUCUCUCAGUUUUCUCUUCGUCUCUGGUUUCCGCUGCCGCUCUGGUCAUCUAGGCCUUCAAGGAGCCGGAUCCCGACUUCAAGAAGGUCAAGAACAUCGAGCACAACGACCUGAGCAGGACCAAUGCUCUGACUGCACCCUUCUUCUUCUUCAUACUCCGCAGAUCCAGAGCUUCUUUCUCUUUCGAUCUCUCUUUGUAUCUGUAUAUAUCUAUAGAUUUCUCUCUCUCUGAUUCUUGUUGAUAUUGACAGUUUUGUAUUUCGUGAAAACCUAGAUGAAGGUGAGACCUCAAGAACAUCCUUGGCGCUGAGAAGAUGGAGCUGCUGGGAUUGUUAAUGAUGGGAGAAAGAAGUUCAUGGACAUGAAGGUGGAGAAUCUAGUGAGGCCCAAAUCGAUUCUCAGCCGAUUGUUGCAAAUCAAAUAAACAAUAAGGCUGAAACUAAGCCUUAAGAUAGUGUCCAGGGAAGUGAAGUAGAUGAACCUCAACUGUAGGCGUGGUUUGGAAAAAAUCAAUUGGAUCCUAGCUGUGGAAAAGUUGUGGUAUCACAAUUGCAUAUGGCUUGGCCGAUUCUCUUAGCAAGGUUUGAUGGAAGACUUGUUGAUGGUCGCAAAAUAACUGCUCAGUUUGCAAAAUUUUAGUGAAUCUAAACAAAAAUAUAGAUUAAAGAGAUAAUGAACUUGAUAUGUGGCUCCAAUGGCCUUUCUUAACUUGGAUUUUAUUUUUUUGGCUCCAAUGGCCUUGAUUUCUA
Molecule: long non-coding RNA, 1064 nt
Organism: Rosa chinensis
Lineage: Eukaryota; Viridiplantae; Streptophyta; Magnoliopsida; Rosales; Rosaceae
Exons: 5
Source: RefSeq, a predicted model, not a curated record